RNAcentral lists this transfer RNA (22 nucleotides) under Carex longii. RNAcentral's name for it is "partial tRNA-Phe". The record is from RNAcentral. Lineage: Eukaryota; Viridiplantae; Streptophyta; Magnoliopsida; Poales; Cyperaceae.
CGGGAUAGCUCAGUCGGUAGAG